CAGGAUGAACGCAGUGACAGGCCAACACAUGCAAGUCAGGGGCAGCACAAGGAGCAAUCUGAGGUGGCGACCGGCGCACGGGUGAGUAACACGUAUGCAACCUGCCUGUAAGCGGGGAAUAACCCGUUGAAAGACGGACUAAUACCGCAUAAUACUAAAUUACUGCAUGGUAAUUUAUUUAAACAUUUAUGGCUUACAGAUGGGCAUGCGCAUGAUUAGCUAGUUGGAGAGGUAACGGCUCCCCAAGGCAACGAUCAUUAGGGGUUCUGAGAGGAAGGUCCCCCACACUGGUACUGAGACACGGACCAGACUCCUACGGGAGGCAGCAGUGAGGAAUAUUGGUCAAUGGACGAGAGUCUGAACCAGCCAAGUCGCGUGCAGGAAGAAUGUCCUUAAUGGAUUGUAAACUGCUUUUGCAGGGGAGUAAAGUGCAUCACGUGUGAUGUUUUGUAUGUACUCUGCGAAUAAGGAUCGGCUAACUCCGUGCCAGCAGCAGC
This 497-nucleotide ribosomal RNA is filed under the name uncultured bacterium. RNAcentral describes it as "bacterial SSU rRNA". It matches the Rfam family "Bacterial small subunit ribosomal RNA", at positions 25 to 518 of the family's 1533-position model. The record is from RNAcentral.